Hibiscus syriacus is the source of this 583-nucleotide long non-coding RNA. RefSeq lists it as uncharacterized. The record is from RefSeq and is a predicted model, not a curated record. NCBI's taxonomy places the organism in Eukaryota, Viridiplantae, Streptophyta, Magnoliopsida, Malvales, Malvaceae. The transcript has 4 exons.
UCGAGUAGUUCCCAUAUCUAAAUCCCUAACUUUCCUCACGAAUCACUUCUCUUACUCUAUGAAUCUCAUCGAUCAUAUAGCAAAAAUUAGAUUUCUAGGAAAAAACCAAUUUCCCUUAAAUUUCUUCUUAUGCUUAUAUGGUUACUUUAAACGUGUUCAACUAAGCAUGGUAUCUCCGUUGUUCAUUAUUCUGUGAUUUUUCCCUUUUAUGUGGAUGGGCAUUUGAUGAAUCUUGUGUAUCAAUUGAGGUCUUGCGUCGUUGGUUCCGUUUUCCCGAGCAGUGAGCCGGGUCUUGCGUCUGCAGGAUCGUGUUUUUUGUGAAGCCCAGGAGACCUCUGUUGAUGGAUGAGUUAGAAGAACAGAGAUGGAGGGAUUUAAUUCUCAAGUUCAGACUUUUUAUCGCCAUGAUGCUGUUUGCAAUCAGCUUGUGCAAGUUACUUCAAACUGUGUAAGGCUUGUGAGUUCAAUGUUGCCACUGCCAAUUUAUCCGGGAAAACAGUUUACACGGAGGAAAAUUUUAACGAUGCUUCAUCAAAAAGGAAAACUGUUUUCUCCUUCCUUUCCCCGUGAAGGAGCAAUGAAG